This 403-nucleotide ribosomal RNA is filed under the name uncultured bacterium. RNAcentral's name for it is "bacterial SSU rRNA". It matches the Rfam family "Bacterial small subunit ribosomal RNA", at positions 98 to 504 of the family's 1533-position model. The record is from RNAcentral.
GCGAACGGGUGAGUAACACGUAGGUCAUCUGCCCAUCAGACGGGGACAACGAUUGGAAACGAUCGCUAAUACCGGAUAGGACGAAAGUUUAAAGGUGCUCCUGGCACCGCUGAUGGAUGAGCCUGCGGCGCAUUAGCUAGUUGGUAGGGUAACGGCCUACCAAGGCGACGAUGCGUAGCCGACCUGAGAGGGUGAACGGCCACACUGGGACUGAGACACGGCCCAGACUCCUACGGGAGGCAGCAGUAGGGAAUCUUCGGCAAUGGGCGAAAGCCUGACCGAGCAACGCCGCGUGAAUGAUGAAGGCCUUCGGGUUGUAAAAUUCUGUUAUAAGGGAAGAACGACUUUAGUAGGAAAUGGCUAGAGUGUGACGGUACCUUAUGAGAAAGCCACGGCUAACUAC